This 597-nucleotide ribosomal RNA is filed under the name uncultured fungus. RNAcentral describes it as "eukaryotic LSU rRNA". The stretch from base 227 to 380 matches the Rfam family "5.8S ribosomal RNA". Lineage: Eukaryota; Fungi. The record is from RNAcentral.
UCCGUAGGUGAACCUGCGGAAGGAUCAUUACAUUCAGUAGUUCUCUACUGCUAGAGGGGAGCCCAAAGCCAAGAUUUUGCUAUCACUUCUUCUAAGGCGAGUAAGCUCCUCUUUUUAUACCCUUGACCUUUGUGUACUCAUGUUUCCUCGGUGGGCUUGCCUGCCGGUUGGACUACCUAAAUCACCUUUUAAUUUCAGUCAGCGUCUGAAUUAAUAUAAUAAUUACAACUUUCAACAACGGAUCUCUUGGUUCUGGCAUCGAUGAAGAACGCAGCGAAAUGCGAUAAGUAGUGUGAAUUGCAGAAUUCAGUGAAUCAUCGAAUUUUUGAACGCACAUUGCGCCCCUUGGUAUUCCAUGGGGCAUGCCUGUUCGAGCGUCAUUUGUACUCUCAAGCUCUGCUUGGUGUUGGGUGUUUGUCCUUUCGUCUCUGUCUGGACUCACCUUAAAAGAAUUGGCGGCCAAUGAUUUAGUUUUGGAGCGCAGCACAUUUUGCGCUUUAGGCCUUAGCAUUUGCGUCCAGUAAGCAAUAUAUCACUUUUGACCUCGGAUCAGGUAGGGAUACCCGCUGAACUUAAGCAUAUCAAUAAGCGGAGGAA